UGGGGAAUUUUGGACAAUGGGCGAAAGCCUGAUCCAGCAAUGCCGCGUGUGUGAAGAAGGCCUUCGGGUUGUAAAGCACUUUUGUCCGGAAAGAAAUCCUUGGCUCUAAUACAGUCGGGGGAUGACGGUACCGGAAGAAUAAGCACCGGCUAACUACGUGCCAGCAGCCGCGGUAAUACGUAGGGUGCAAGCGUUAAUCGGAAUUACUGGGCGUAAAGCGUGCGCAGGCGGUUUGCUAAGACCGAUGUGAAAUCCCCGGGCUCAACCUGGGAACUGCAUUGGUGACUGGCAGGCUAGAGUAUGGCAGAGGGGGGUAGAAUUCCACGUGUAGCAGUGAAAUGCGUAGAGAUGUGGAGGAAUACCGAUGGCGAAGGCAGCCCCCUGGGCCAAUACUGACGCUCAUGCACGAAAGCGUGGGGAGCAAACAGGAUUAGAUACCCUGGUAGUCCACGCCCUAAACGAUGUCAACUAGUUGUUGGGGAUUCAUUUCCUUAGUAACGUAGCUAGCGCGUGAAGUUGACCGCCUGGGGAGUACGGUCGCAAGAUUAAAACUUAAAGGAAUUGACGGGGUCAUAGCUGUUUCCU
This 585-nucleotide ribosomal RNA is filed under the name uncultured bacterium. RNAcentral's name for it is "partial 16S ribosomal RNA". It matches the Rfam family "Bacterial small subunit ribosomal RNA", at positions 355 to 1375 of the family's 1533-position model. The record is from RNAcentral.